This 667-nucleotide ribosomal RNA is filed under the name uncultured delta proteobacterium. RNAcentral describes it as "bacterial SSU rRNA". It matches the Rfam family "Bacterial small subunit ribosomal RNA", at positions 75 to 719 of the family's 1533-position model. Lineage: Bacteria; Deltaproteobacteria. The record is from RNAcentral.
UUCCUUCGGGAAACGAGUACAGUGGCGCACGGGUGAGUAACACGUGGACAAUCUACCCGACAAUCUGGGAUAACACUUCGAAAGAGGUGCUAAUACCGGAUAAGCCCACGCUCUCUUCGGAGAACGCGGGAAAAGGUGGGGACCUUCGGGCCUACCGUUGUCGGAUGAGUCCGCGUCCCAUUAGCUAGUUGGUAGGGUAAUGGCCUACCAAGGCUACGAUGGGUAGCUGGUCUGAGAGGAUGAUCAGUCACACUGGAACUGAGACACGGUCCAGACUCCUACGGGAGGCAGCAGUGGGGAAUUUUGCGCGAUGGGCGAAAGCCUGACGCAGCAACGCCGCGUGAGGGAUGAAGGCCUUCGGGUCGUAAACCUCUGUCAGAGGGGAAGAACCACCUGUUGGAUAAUACCCAACAGGUCUGACGGUACCCUCAGAGGAAGCACCGGCUAACUCCGUGCCAGCAGCCGCGGUAAUACGGAGGGUGCAAGCGUUGUUCGGAAUUAUUGGGCGUAAAGCGCGUGUAGGCGGUUUGUUAAGUCUGAUGUGAAAGCCCCGGGCUCAACCUGGGAAGUGCAUUGGAUACUGGCAAACUUGAGUAUGGGAGAGGAAAGUGGAAUUCCGAGUGUAGGGGUGAAAUCCGUAGAUAUUCGGAGGAACACCAGUGGCGAA